RNAcentral lists this ribosomal RNA (512 nucleotides) under uncultured bacterium. RNAcentral's name for it is "partial 16S ribosomal RNA". It matches the Rfam family "Bacterial small subunit ribosomal RNA", at positions 28 to 507 of the family's 1533-position model. The record is from RNAcentral.
GAUGAACGCUGGCGGCGUGCCUAAUACAUGCAAGUCGAACGAAACUUCUUUAUCACCGAGUGCUUGCACUCACCGAUAAAGAGUUGAGUGGCGAACGGGUGAGUAACACGUGGGCAACCUGCCCAAAAGAGGGGGAUAACACUUGGAAACAGGUGCUAAUACCGCAUAACCAUAGUUACCGCAUGGUAACUAUGUAAAAGGUGGCUAUACUACCGCUUUUGGAUGGGCCCGCGGCGCAUUAGCUAGUUGGUAGGGUAAAGGCUUACCAAGGCAAUGAUGCGUAGCCGAAUUGAGAGGUUGAUCGGCCACAUUGGGACUGAGACACGGCCCAAACUCCUACGGGAGGCAGCAGUAGGGAAUCUUCCACAAUGGGCGAAAGCCUGAUGGAGCAACGCCACGUGGGUGAAGAAGGUCUUCGGAUCGUAAAACCCUGUUGUUAGAGAAGAAAGUGCGUGAGAGUAACUGUUCACGUUUCGACGGUAUCUAACCAGAAAGCCACUGCUAACUACGUG